Molecule: long non-coding RNA, 199 nt
Filed under: Elaeis guineensis (African oil palm)
Lineage: Eukaryota; Viridiplantae; Streptophyta; Magnoliopsida; Arecales; Arecaceae
Description: long non-coding RNA (EGUI_LNC060049)
Source: RNAcentral
ACCGACCUGGCCUCAAUGCUCUCCGAGCCAUCGUGUCAACCUACCAUUUGAAGUUGAAAUUCCCUACCAACUAGGGGAUCGGAGAGGUCAGAGGAGACCAAGCCCUAGCCAGACACUGCUACAACAUAGCCUUGUAAAGAAGCGACCAAUCCGACCCCUGUCCAGUUGAUGGGCUGGAUGCUCGCGACGACCUCACUGA